Molecule: ribosomal RNA, 433 nt
Filed under: uncultured bacterium
Lineage: Bacteria
Description: partial 16S ribosomal RNA
Rfam family: Bacterial small subunit ribosomal RNA
Source: RNAcentral
AACGAACGCUGGCGGCAUGCCUAACACAUGCAAGUCGAACGAGACCUUCGGGUCUAGUGGCGCACGGGUGCGUCACGAGUGGGAACCUGCCCUUAGGUUCGGCCUAACUCCCCGACAGGGGUGCUAAUACCGGAUCAUGUCUUCGGACCAAAGAUUUAUCGCCUUUGGAUGGGCCCGCGUUGGAUUAGCUAGUUGGUAGGGUAAAAGCUUACCACGGCGCCGAUCAAUAGCUGGUCUGAGAGGAUGCUCAGCCACACUGGGACUGAGACACGGCCCAGACUCCUACGGGAGGCAGCAGUGGGGAAUAUUGGAAAAUGGCCGAAAGCCUGAACCAGCAAUGCCGCGUGAGUGAUGAAGGCCGGAGGGUUGUAAAGCUCUAUUACCCGGGAUGAUAAUGACAGUACCGGGAGAAUAAGCUCCGGCUAACUCCGUG